AGUGAACGCUGGCGGUAGGCCUAACACAUGCAAGUCGAACGGCAGCACAGGAGAGCUUGCUCUCUGGGUGGCGAGUGGCGGACGGGUGAGGAAUACAUCGGAAUCUACUCUGUCGUGGGGGAUAACGUAGGGAAACUUACGCUAGUACCGCAUACGACCUACGGGUGAAAGCAGGGGAUCUUCGGACCUUGCGCGAUUGAAUGAGCCGAUGUCGGAUUAGCUAGUUGGCGGGGUAAAGGCCCACCAAGGCGACGAUCCGUAGCUGGUCUGAGAGGAUGAUCAGCCACACUGGAACUGAGACACGGUCCAGACUCCUACGGGAGGCAGCAGUGGGGAAUAUUGGACAAUGGGCGCAAGCCUGAUCCAGCCAUACCGCGCGGGUGAAGAAGGCCUUCGGGUUGUAAAGCCCUUUUGUUGGGAAAGAAAUCCAGCUGGCUAAUACCCGGUUGGGAUGACGGCACCCAAAGAAUAAGCACCGGCUAACUUCGUGCCAGCCGCCGCCGUAA
Molecule: ribosomal RNA, 506 nt
Filed under: uncultured bacterium
Lineage: Bacteria
Description: partial 16S ribosomal RNA
Rfam family: Bacterial small subunit ribosomal RNA
Source: RNAcentral